Molecule: small nuclear RNA, 18 nt
Filed under: Arabidopsis thaliana (thale cress)
Lineage: Eukaryota; Viridiplantae; Streptophyta; Magnoliopsida; Brassicales; Brassicaceae
Description: snRNA_00435
Source: RNAcentral
UCUAUAUAUAUUUUUUUU